RNAcentral lists this unclassified non-coding RNA (3127 nucleotides) under Rhagoletis pomonella (apple maggot). RNAcentral's name for it is "uncharacterized LOC118749841, transcript variant X3". The record is from RNAcentral. Lineage: Eukaryota; Metazoa; Arthropoda; Insecta; Diptera; Tephritidae.
UAAUAAUCGAAUAUCGAUAAACAGGUUCAUUUCUAGGCUAUUCAAAUUUUACUAAUAUUCAGUGCUUUGGUGUUUUUAAUAAAUAUGGAUCUAAAAAACAAAGCGAGGAGAAGCACGCUAAGGAAUUCGGACUCCACAUCAAAUCCUCGAAUAGAACCCAAUGCAGUCUCUACUUCAAAACCAAAACGUCGGAUAAGUUUUAGUGGAAGGAAGUCUGUUAGAGAAUUCCAUGCAGAGGAAAAGCCCAAAAGUUGGAACAAUUCGUAUGAAAUAUCAGACCACCUUAACUCGUUAGAAAAUAUAUCAACUGGAAGCUUUGGCGGAGACAAUUUUAUACCUUGCCAUACUCAGUACAAAUUACCAGAUUGUAAGGAAAAUUACAGUUUCUCUAAAAAUAAGAGGCUUAUAAAUGGUCGCCCGCUAAGUGAGAAUCAAAAUAAUGUUGCUUUGGCCUUCGAAAUGGAAACGAAAAAUCAUGAUGGAGAGCAUGGAGCUUUUUCAUAUAAAUUCGCCAAGGAUAAUAAUAUGAUUGUUGAAAUAUUUUGUGGUGAAGAGAAAUGCAAGUAGAGCAGCUGUGAUGGGGUCUGAAUCCAGAUUGAAAUGGGGAUAUAAGGUUGAAUUUACCGAUGUGGGAAGAGAUUUGUUCAGAUAACAAAGAUUCGAAAACUUUAGACAAGGCUGGUAGUAUGCUGAUGGGUCGGAAAUCACUAGGGCUGGAUGCGGAUUUAUUUUUGGCUACAGGAAGCACAGUAGCAAUCUUCCAGGCAUCGGGAAAACAGGACGUGAUUUCACCACAUCAAUCUCGCUCACAGCAAUGAACUCAAACUUUUCGCCAGCAAAAGAGACCGGACAGGAGGCUACAGAGUUGGUCGUAAGGGGACAAGAUGAAGGCGGAGAAGCAAAGGCAACGCUAAGCGUUUCAGGACUCAACGAGCAUUCUGAUUUCUCACUGGCAUGGACGCGGAGUGUUCUCAGAUUUCGCCACAAUACAUUAUUAGGCAGUGAGGGAUCCAGCUUAUUCAUAAAGAAUUUUUUCUUUUCACGUCUUAUAACCGAGGUAGCUUCAUUCCUUAUUGUUUUGAAAGCACUCCAGUUCUCAUCUGUCGGGUUCCUUUUCCAUAUGUUAUAAUAUUUAUUGCGUUUUUUAAUCACUGAUAGGACCACACCAUUAAACCAACGGCAGGAAGAAGACCUGUCACAGGUUCGGGUAGGGACAUGAGUGAGGAGCGAAUUUAAUAUAUUUUCGUUUAGGAAACGGAGCUUCUCAUUGACCGUGCUGAGACCCCAGCAAACAGACCAAUCGAUCUGCAAGAGGCUACUGAAAAGGUUGUUGACAUCUAAGGAACGGUAGUCAAAGAAGUUAAAUACAUAGGUAUUGUCGUCAUAGUGAUCAAGUUUAACGUCAAAAGAACAAAAUAUCAAGUCAUGAUCAGAUAUAAAAGAUAUUUGGUCAAAUUUCAAAACAAUAGAAGGAUCAGAUACAGCAAAGUAAUCUAAUAAGCUGGGACAGCAAUUGCUACCAUAUCUUGUGGGCACCGACAAAUUAACCAUAGACAACCCAACACAGGAGAUAUCAUCUAUUAAACGAGCACUGGUAGAAUCAGGACAUAACAGGUUCACAUUAAAAUCACCACAAAGAAUUAUAUGGUCAUAAUCUACAGAAACAGUGGACAGAAAAUUAAAAAAGUCACAUAGGCUGAAAUACUUAUAGGGAUUAUACACACAAGACAAUAGGAUUUUGGACGAGGGGCUAGACAUUUCGACAGACAGGUACUCCACGCAACUUCUUUCUGAAUGUGACUGCGAAACCUGUUUGGUUUUUAGGUGCUUUUUGCAGUAAAUAGCAACUCCACCACCUUUUCUAUCUACCCUAUCAGAACGAAACAACUUAUAACCAUUAAUAUCAUAAUGGACACUGCUUACAUUGUACCUGAACCACGUCUCAGAUACACAUAUAACAUCGACUGGAGACAAUUCAAAAGUGUUCCUUACUAUAUCCAUUUUCUCAGAAUUAAGACUGCGCGCAUUAAAAUGAACAAUGUUCAAACCCGUUUGUUGACCGCACUUGAUGUUCACCAUUGCACGACUACAAUUGUCAAUGUUAGCCGUUUUGCUGCUGGGUACAACCAUGAUAUUUUACGCGUAUAAACAAAAGCAACUUUAAAGCAUAAGGGAUAACAAUAUUAAGAACAAACAAACAUAAACUGAGAUGUGCCAACUUUACAACAAUGAAUACAUAACAGAGGGAACAUAAAAACAAAAUCUUAUACCUAACGAAAGCGCGCUAAAUCAUCUUCGCAGGUUAAUUUGAUAGCGGGGCUAUUUUUGUCUUUUUCAUUUCUUACGUGCACCUCGCCUCGCAUUGUGUAUACCGAUACCAGCUUACCCUCUCUGCGUAGCUUGAUAGCCUCUUGUAGUAAGCGCCUUUUCUCUUGAGUGAGACUCUCAAAUAUGUGGAAAAUUCCAUCCAUUCCAAUGGAGCUUAAUGACACUGCAGAUCUAACUCGCCUGCGAUACUCCCCAAAAGCGCGAAGGGUGCGAUUGCGAUCAUGCGGGGAGUGAAAUUUAACGACAAUCACGCCGUUGCGGUUGGCAGUGGGGCGCGUUCGGAAGAUGUCGCGAAUUUGUGGAGACAUGAAAUCGAUGGAGAGACAAAUCUGGUUAAAUAUGCUCUUUAGGUUCUCCCCAUCCGCAUAAGGCACACCAAACACAACAGCAUCAGCAGAAAUAUCAGGAGUAGGUUUUUGUUGUAGUGCACUAGAAACUUGCUGUUGUAGGUAGGCAAUAUCGCUUUCAGCCUUCUUCAUAUUAGCUUCCAUCAAAGUUAAGCGCGUAGUCGUCUCGGCCACUUUCUCAGUAAACAUAGCUAUCUCAUCAUCUAUUCGCUUUGUUAAUUUGUUCUCCAGCUCUGACAAUUUCUGAGAGACAUUCUCAACUAGCGGCAGCAGAUUGUCCGUUUGUUGCUGUAUUUUCACUUCGAGUUGCUUUAGUUUUGCAAAGACAGCAAUAAGGGUGAUGUCUUCAUCCAGCUUUACCACUUUAGCAGCAGGGGACUCCUGUCCCCGCAGGGGACGUUUGUUCGCUGCAGAAGAGGUCGAUGCACGAACAGACAUAGCGAAAACAAAAA